Molecule: ribosomal RNA, 482 nt
Filed under: uncultured bacterium
Lineage: Bacteria
Description: partial 16S ribosomal RNA
Rfam family: Bacterial small subunit ribosomal RNA
Source: RNAcentral
GACGAACGCUGGCGGCGUGCCUAACACAUGCAAGUCGAACGGAACUGUUUUGAAAGAUUUCUUCGGAAUGAAUUUGAUUUAGUUUCGUGGCGGACGGGUGAGUAACGCGUGAGUAACCUGCCUUCAAGAGGGGAAUAACAUUCUGAAAAGAAUGCUAAUACCGCAUGACAUAUCGGAACCACAUGGUUUUGAUAUCAAAGAUUUUAUCGCUUGAAGAUGGACUCGCGUCCGAUUAGUUAGUUGGUGAGGUAACGGCUCACCAAGACCGCGAUCGGUAGCCGGACUGAGAGGUUGAACGGCCACAUUGGGACUGAGACACGGCCCAGACUCCUACGGGAGGCAGCAGUGGGGGAUAUUGCGCAAUGGGGGCAACCCUGACGCAGCAACGCCGCGUGAAGGAUGAAGGUUUUCGGAUUGUAAACUUCUUUUAUUAAGGACGAAAAAUGACGGUACUUAAUGAAUAAGCUCCGGCUAACUACGUG